This 495-nucleotide ribosomal RNA is filed under the name Clostridioides difficile. RNAcentral's name for it is "bacterial LSU rRNA". It matches the Rfam family "Bacterial large subunit ribosomal RNA", at positions 1189 to 1689 of the family's 2925-position model. Lineage: Bacteria; Bacillati; Bacillota; Clostridia; Peptostreptococcales; Peptostreptococcaceae. The record is from RNAcentral.
UACUACCGAAGCUACGGCAUCAGUAAUGAUGGGUAGGGGAGCUUCCCAUACGGGUUGAAGCAUGACCGUAAGGACAUGUGGACAGUAUGGGAGUGAGAAUGUUGGCAUGAGUAGCGAGAUGUGGGUGAGAAUCCCACAGGCCGUAAACCCAAGGUUUCCAGGGGAAGGUUCGUCCACCCUGGGUUAGUCGGGACCUAAGCUGAGGCCGAAAGGCGUAGGUGAUGGACAACAGGUUGAUAUUCCUGUACUACCGAUAACCGUUUGAGAGAAGGGAUGACACAGUAGGAUAAGCUAAGCACACUGUUGGUUAUGUGUGCCCAAGCAUUGAGGCAGUCAAAGUAGGCAAAUCCGCUUUGAUAAUGCUGGGAUGUGAUGGGGAGCGAAAUUUAGUAGCGAAGUAGCUGAUUUCACACUGUCAAGAAAAGUCUCUAUCGAGGUUAAAGGUACCCGUACCGCAAACCGACACAGGUGGGUGAGGAGAGUAUCCUAAGGCCA